AUACGGAGGGAGCUAGCGUUGUUCGGAAAUACUGGGCGUAAAGCGAACGUAGGCGGUCUAUUAAGUCAGGGGUGAAAUCCCGGAGCUCAACUCCGGAACUGCCCUUGAAACUGCUAGACUAGAAUCCUGGAGAGGUCAGUGGAAUUCCGAGUGUAGAGGUGAAAUUCGUAGAUAUUCGGAAGAACACCAGUGGCGAAGGCGACUGACUGGACAGGUAUUGACGCUGAGGUUCGAAAGCGUGGGGAGCAAACAGGAUUAGAUACCCUGGUAGUCCACGCCGUAAACGAUGAUAACUAGCUGUCCGGGCUCAUAGAGCUUGGGUGGCGCAGCUAACGCAUUAAGUUAUCCGCCUGGGGAGUACGGUCGCAAGAUUAAA
This 376-nucleotide ribosomal RNA is filed under the name uncultured bacterium. Its description in RNAcentral is "bacterial SSU rRNA". It matches the Rfam family "Bacterial small subunit ribosomal RNA", at positions 523 to 898 of the family's 1533-position model. The record is from RNAcentral.